GUGCCCCUGUCAGCAGCCCACAUACUGAAGUCGGAAAACUUAGAGAAGAUUAUUAGCAGGGCCCCUGGGCAAGGAUGACAUGCAAAUUUGUGAAGGAUUUCAUAUUUAA
Small nuclear RNA from Suricata suricatta (meerkat), 109 nucleotides. The record is from Ensembl. Lineage: Eukaryota; Metazoa; Chordata; Mammalia; Carnivora; Herpestidae.